Molecule: ribosomal RNA, 468 nt
Filed under: uncultured cyanobacterium
Lineage: Bacteria; Bacillati; Cyanobacteriota
Description: bacterial SSU rRNA
Rfam family: Bacterial small subunit ribosomal RNA
Source: RNAcentral
AAUGGGCGAAAGCCUGACGGAGCAAUACCGCGUGAGGGAGGAAGGCUUUUGGGUUGUAAACCUCUUUUUUCAAGGAAGAAGAUAUGACGGUACUUGAGGAAUAAGCAUCGGCUAACUCCGUGCCAGCAGCCGCGGUAAUACGGAGGAUGCAAGCGUUAUCCGGAAUGAUUGGGCGUAAAGCGUCUGCAGGUGGCUAUGCAAGUCUGCUGUUAAAGAGUGGAGCUCAACUCCAUAAGGGCAGUGGAAACUGCGUGACUAGAGUACGUUCGGGGUAGAGGGAAUUCCUGGUGUAGCGGUGAAAUGCGUAGAUAUCAGGAAGAACACCGGUGGCGAAAGCGCUCUACUAGGCCGUAACUGACACUGAGAGACGAAAGCUAAGGGAGCGAAUGGGAUUAGAUACCCCAGUAGUCUUAGCCGUAAACGAUGGAUACUAGGCGUUGCUUGUAUCGACCCGAGCCGUGCCGAAGC